GAGAAGGAGCGGGGUACCUUCCCUGGACCCAGAAAGAAAUACCAUUUCUCCACCCCCAAUCUCACACACACCCCUUAGUCGCUCCCUCCAAAUGGUUAUCACAACUGUGUACAAACUGAUACGGUUCUUAGCGGGCCAAGGACUGGAAAUGAACACUGGCGGGGUUAUCAGUGCCGAUCUGUCAGCAGCGAGUCGCGCACUGCUUGUCCCAGGCAGCAGCAGUGAUAUACGUCUUAUUUCUUUGGGCUCACAAAAGGGAUUUCUUUCGACAAGCUGGACAUUGGAAGAAGGCUGCAGGAAGGGAAUUGAACAGGAGAAACACUCUUGUGGGAGUGGAUUCUUACAGGAAUAUCCCAGUCACUGUGGCUUCGGCGUGGCUGCAUUUCUGAAAGUAGAAAACUCUGGAAUGGAGAGACUAGCAGCUGGAACAGGAUUCGAAGGCUUUAAAUUUUAACCCGAGUUCGAUCGAAAGUUACUACCACAAGAGACUGGCACGGGCCGGCCCAAUUCCCACCACGGCUUCCAGCGGCUUGCUUUGGGUUGUCCGGAUCAGAGAAGCACUCCAUAUCCCCUUGGGGUCAUGAGCAGAACAGUCUGAACCCCCGCAGAUGUGAUAGACCUGUGUCUCCGAAUCCCGGAACUGAACCCAGGAAGGGUGUAGACUCUCAAAGCAUUUUCUUUAUUUAGGGCUGGAGGUAGAAGCGAGAAUAUCUCCUGCAUGCUAGCCAAAUGCUCUAUUCCUGAAACACAUACACUACAGGAACAGAUUAUUGAUCAUAGGCCACUCUAGAUUUCUUCAGUCUUGGUUUCUUUCUGGCUCUUCUCUUCCCCCUCCUUCCAAUAUGUAUUUGAAAACAAAAUCCAAACCAGAACAAGAAGAAUCCUGUUCUCUAGCUAAGAAGACAGUGAAAGAGAUGCACAGAGGCAGAGCCCAUAGUGGGGUUUCUCUGUGUAGCCCUGGCUGUCCUGGAACUUGCUCUGUAAACCAAGCUGGCCUCAAACUCUCCUUCCUGAGUCACCAUCCCUGCUCAUCCUUCAAAUUUCAAAGGCCUUCUCAGUGUCAAGAGUUCAGCAUGUACUGAGCCUCUGUGGAAAUGGCAGGGUGAACAGACAGGAGCGCACAAUGACUUGCAGGAUAUAGUCUGAGUGGUCCAACUAUGGAUACCAUACAGCAGCAGCUGAGAGCCUGGUCAUCGUCCACGGUGCUGGAUGUCUCCACAGUCCCAAUCUGGCACCAGAGACAUGGAGGAUUCGUGAAGAACUUCUGGUCCUAAGAGUAUGCUGGAAGCCCAAAGAAGAUGGCUCAAAUAUCAGCCAAGAAUGCGUAGGAUCACCAGAUGGGCUUGCCUACUGGCAUGCAAAGCAGGACUUCCUUCUUUCUCUUCCUCUCAUCACCUGGCUUGCAACCAACUGAAAGACACCGCCCACUUUUGUGGAUUUGCUGUUGUCUUUACAUUGCCUUUUCAGGACAGGGUUUCUCUGUGUAUCCCUGGCUGUCCUGAAACUCUCUACACAGACCAAGCUGGCCUUGAACUCAGAGAUCUGCCUACUUCUGCCUCCCUGAGCACUGGAAUUAAAGGCUUAUGCCACUGUACCCUGCUGAUACCACCAACUUCUGGGAUACAACUUUCUGCUUCAAAUGAUCAGCUCAAGAAAAGUCUUUGGGGGGCUGGUGAGAUGGCUCAGUGGGUAAGAGCACCCGACUGCUCUUCUGAAGGUCCAGAGUUCAAAUC
This is a non-coding RNA of Mus caroli (Ryukyu mouse), 1733 nucleotides long. Lineage: Eukaryota; Metazoa; Chordata; Mammalia; Rodentia; Muridae. The record is from RefSeq and is a predicted model, not a curated record.